CCCAAACCCUAGGUAGAAACCCUAGGGUACACACUAGAAACCCUGCUCUCAAUUUUCUUUCUUUUCUUUCUUUUUCUCUCGAAAGGUUUUGGACCUUCACCUUGCGCACAAACUUUCCCCACACCCCAAAGUUUCUCUACUAAAAUUUCUACGCACGUCUCACCUUUCUCCUCUUUUUAAAACAACGUCGAACAUCUCUUAUCCGCAUGAGAGGAUAAAGAUAAGUGGUUGCAUAUUUGAAUUCAAAUCAAAUUUGAAUUCAAAUGCAAAACCAACUCAUCCCUAUCCACUUGUGCAUGAGAAGAGAAGGGGCGUGAGUUGAUUUGUGCAUGG
Molecule: long non-coding RNA, 333 nt
Filed under: Elaeis guineensis (African oil palm)
Lineage: Eukaryota; Viridiplantae; Streptophyta; Magnoliopsida; Arecales; Arecaceae
Description: long non-coding RNA (EGUI_LNC004718)
Source: RNAcentral